UACGGAGGGUGCGAGCGUUGUCCGGAAUCACUGGGCGUAAAGGCGCGUAGGCGGCCUGAUAAGUAGGGGGUGAAAUCCUGCGGCUUAACCGCAGGGCUGCCUUCUAAACUGUCAGGCUGGAGCACAGUAGAGGCAGGUGGAAUUCCCGGUGUAGCGGUGGAAUGCGUAGAGAUCGGGAAGAACAUCAGUGGCGAAGGCGGCCUGCUGGGCUGUUGCUGACGCUGAGGCGCGACAGCGUGGGGAGCAAACAGGAUAGAAAU
This 260-nucleotide ribosomal RNA is filed under the name uncultured bacterium. RNAcentral's name for it is "partial 16S ribosomal RNA". It matches the Rfam family "Bacterial small subunit ribosomal RNA", at positions 524 to 785 of the family's 1533-position model. The record is from RNAcentral.